CAAGUCAUCAACAAUGAAGAUCAAGAUGUUAGGCUUCUUUUGAGAGCUCGCAAGCGAUGAAAAGAUUACAAGAAGCGCAAAAACGUAACACGAUAAACACGGUCGACAAGCUUCCAUCUUCGUUAGACUGGAGCCGAAUGUAAAAAUGGGGGAUCAUUUGUCCCGACGUGGGUAUGUGUUUUACAAAUAGACGACUCAGCUCAGCCAGG
Molecule: long non-coding RNA, 209 nt
Organism: Nematostella vectensis (starlet sea anemone)
Lineage: Eukaryota; Metazoa; Cnidaria; Anthozoa; Actiniaria; Edwardsiidae
Exons: 2
Source: RefSeq, a predicted model, not a curated record